UGAGGUUUGUUUAUGGCUCCUCAGACUGCUGUUUAUUGCUAUCGUACGGCCGUUACUGAAGUUGGUAUAACUAGAGAAGCAAGCGGUCAGAAACAUUCAUCUCUCGAGGGGGUGUCUCACUCGGUGUUAUGGUGUGUUUGACCCUAAAUUAAUUUUACGCCGGAAUAUCCCUUUAAGACCGAAAAGCUCUUGUGAGUCAUGAUUAGUGUGAUCCUCCAUUUGUAACCUGUUUACUUUCUAGAUGUCAACCCUCUAAAGGUUUACAGCACUGUGCUUUAAGUGAGAAACUGUCUGAAAUAGUUGUUCAAGAUUGCUGUAAUUUAUUGUAAACCUGUAGACCAGACCCCCGUUGAGUGAUUUGAAUAACUAAAAGGAAAAGGAGAAGCAGACCAAGCCUAAUCCAUCACCGAGAGAGGGAAAAAAAGAACAAGUGAUGUAAUAUUUUAAUACGAGAAAAAACACUCAGACAGACCAAAACAACACAACACAACAGCAAUUUCACUUAGUCUGGCCGUAUAGUGAGAUUAGGCUACGAAAUGAUCUAUAAACAGCCAUCUGACUGAGAUUUCACAUUGUGUUGGAGAGCCUUACAGACCGCUAAACCCGGGAUUAUCGCACGGCACAGUGACCUGACUCGACUCUUUGCUUGGUCUGGAAGGGGAUUGACAGAGACUGAUGUUUGGGGUUUUUGCAGGGGAAGCCUGUAUUGUCAGAUCGGUAAAGUAAAGCUUGCCUUAAUCUUUAAAGCGUCAUAAAAUAAUGUAAUAAAAAUCAAACACCCGCAAAAUCCUGAGUAUAAAUGUCAUUUAAAAAUCUGCAAAUUAUGUGAAGUCGUUUGACAGAUUAAAUAAAAAGUGCACAGGCAGGUAUAGGAGGAGAGAGCUGCUGCUUCAUGUUGGCAUGUGGUUAGGAAACUUCUCCAAAGCUGCAGUCAAUUUAUUAGCCUGCCUAGUAGCUGCUAUAUGACAUGAACAGGAUGAGAAUGAAGGCCCACGUGCAGCAGCAUGUGUUUCCUGUCUCUGGUUAGUUUUUCUUCCACUUACUUUAAUUCAAAAUCAGACGGGACAUAAGUUUUUAAUCAGCGAGGCCAGUUUUAAUCUAUACUGGGCUAUCAGGCCAGCAAUCACGGGUAAACAGAUAAUCCCUCCCGGGGUCGAUGACUCAGUGUUGAAGCAGUAAAGCGACCCAACGCUAAUGCUUGAGGCACUUCACACAACAGUACUGUAGGCUUUGAAGGGUGGUGAGUAAUCUUACAAUAACGUGGGGCAUUUCACAACAUAGCAGUUUCAUAGCGGAGCGAAGGGAGGCAGGAACCAAUGAACGCAGCGGGAGGCAUACCUCCAUCCGUGAAAAGAAGAGAGGGAAAAAAGAGGAGUAGAAGUAUGUGUUUGUCUUUGCACUCCGGAGACUUGAUCGACAUCCCCACCCUGUCUACUUUGACCUCCCACUAACUCUGCUGGGUCUCUCUACCUCCUACAGUCGACUGAUUCCCCGCCUCUCCAACCCUCACUCUACUUCCUCCUCACUUCCUCCACCUCUAUCUCCAUCAUCUCUCAUCACUCCCUCCUCUUCAUCUCCUUCGUCGACCCCUCUUAAGCCUCUUCCUCUCUCUACUCCGUGCUUUCCUCUCUCUCCCCUCUUCCCUCUCUCUUCAGUCCAUUCCUGUGGCCGCUCCCCACAGGCAGUGAUGCAAUCCUCCGACUCCUGCGCGCAAUCACAGGGUCUGGAGUCGGGCUCGCCAGCCAAGCAGGGGCGUCACCACACCACGCUCAGUAGGAAAGCAACAGGAGAGGAAAGAAAAGAGGUGAGGAGGGGGAGAGAGAGAGAGAGAGAGAGAGAAGGAAUGAAGCCAAUGAGAGAGAGAGAAGAAAAACAGUCUGAGGCUUUUGGAGCUGCUGGUGGGUGAUAGAGGAAAAAGUAUGGCGAUAAAAGUUAACAGCUCUGUUUAACAGUUUGGCACAAUCAAAACCGAGCUCGGGGUUAACGUGACUGCGAGGUGAGAUGUGUUCGAACUUGUGAAUGAAUCUGUUUUUGGAAGGACCGACCAACUAAAACGGCACAACAUCCCAGCUCAGUGUCCUCCCAUCAGCCCACUAACCAGCUGUGUCCGUUUAGAUAGGGCUGCUGGAUGAGGCCUCUGUUUCGGAAGUGAUGGCGCUUUGCUACUCCCACACUAAAUGCUGUCGUUCCAGCUGACUCACACCAACAUUAGCAUUAUUCUUACCGCUUCACUGGCGGUAUAAAAUUCAAGUAUGGGGGUUACAUGAUCUGCCAUUUAACAUUUUUUUUCCCACUUGUAACAAAAAUCUCAAUUAUCUGAAUCUCCUCUUGCAGGUAACAUGUCAGGACUGAAAGAAUAUCUCCUUACAGAUGCGUGCAUGCAAAGUGUGAUGUUAUCAGACACAGCGCACACAGGCAUGAACGAUCUAAAGGUGUGAUUUUAAAGCGAGUGCACACACUUGCAUGAGACACGCCCCUGCAGACCUCCCCUAAAGGCAGCAGCAAUGACCACAAGGUUAAGUCAGGAAUGCAAACGCAGCGACACCUGCCUAAAUCUUUAAAACGCCAGGCACAUGCACACAAACAAAAAGCUGCUGGUGGCCACUCCCUCAAACUCCAGGCAGCUUUUAGGCCUUUAAAAAUGACUCCAGCUCCAAAUGAGGAAUGCAGGUGUGCAGCCCAACCUUUGUCCCUUUAAGCUCCCUCUAUAAAAUCUUUAUCUUCUCACCAAAAAAGUGCAGAAAGAGGAUUUUUUUUUCUUUGCACAGUUUGUCUUCAAUUUUAAAUUCAAAUGCAGCAUCCUUACAGCAGACAAAACCUCGUGCCUCCAGAUCUCUGUCACCAACGCACAAACGAGCGUGUGAGUGAGGAGGAGCGGGAGCCAGGGCAUCUUCCUGGUGGGCUGAAGCAUCCAGGGGCUGGUAGACUCUUAUAUGUCACCGUCAGGGGGCUCAGGUUUAUGUGCAACAAAGUUUGGGAGUGCAGAGAAGUUGCAGAUGCAAAAUGCGUUAAGUGGGGACCCUUUUUUUGUCAACAUGUUAUAGGGUGUCCAUACGUCCUCUUUUACCCAGACAAGUCGUCUUUAUGGGGGGCUGUCCGACCUGUUCGGGGGAGUUUAUAAAAUCCUUUAAAUGGGUUUUGUAUGGAAGUUUUAAGUUUGUGUCGCAUGGACUUACUGAGUUAGAAGCGCGUAAAAGACACUCGAUCCAACCCAAAAAACUCAGAAUUAACUAUGCGCGCCUCUGUGACUCCACCUCGUGUCCUCUUUUUGAGAAUUCAGAAUAUAGAAAGGCUGUCUAUAAACCUUUCACUUGUUCGUCUCCGCCCGUAUGCAUGGU
RNAcentral lists this long non-coding RNA (3338 nucleotides) under Xyrichtys novacula (pearly razorfish). Lineage: Eukaryota; Metazoa; Chordata; Actinopteri; Labriformes; Labridae. The record is from RNAcentral.